GGGGUUGGCGGUCGUUGCCGCGGCGGCUCGGGGUUCGCUGAGGGGAGCCCCCCCCACCCUCCGCCUUCAGGCCCUGCCCGCGUAGGCGCUGCUUGUGGGGGCUGCACGUUUGUGAGGCGGAAAGCCAAUAGUGCAUGGCACUGGCAAUGUUGUCCCUCCGGUUUGGUUCUCGCGGCUCGUAGGAAGUUGGGGGACUGCCGCCUUUUGGGGGAGAGAUUCAUCUUUCCCGCAGAAUUCCCAAGGCUUUUCCCUGUGCCGUGUUUCCAAGAUGCAGAAUUGAACACUGGUAUUGCUGAUAAUAAAAACACUUGGGGUUUACUUGUCUCUGAAGCUUACUUGAGCCUUUACAGUGAACUCGAAUCCCAUUCACAGGCUUUCCACUGCGACCGCCAUGUAAUCGUUUGUCUUCAGGACCUGAAGGCUUCCCUUACAGCAAUAAAAGGUCGCAACAGUAAGGUUUUUGCCGUGCCUCCCUGCCUUUGGUGCUCCAACUGCUGUUAAGCAACACUGGAAAUACCUUGUCUGCGUGACUGGUGUGCUCUUCCCAGAGAGUGCUUAGGAAGGACCUCACAUUUUGGGGUCAUCAGUCCAGUAACUUGCAGCACCGUAUUCAGUACAACCUUUUUAUCAAAAGGACAGUACAGGAAAGAGUUUUUUGCCUUCUGUCAAGCAAGAUGAUUUCUGAGGGAAAGCAAAAAUGUAGCACACAGGCCCUGACUGAAGAACCAGAGGCAAACAACGGCGGCACAAUCUGCUGCAGUACUGAACUGGAAGAAGGCUGCUGGGGGCUGUGUCCCAGCUAGUGCCAGAAAAUUGUGAAGAAACAAAAAUCCUGUAGGUUGGACACUGUGGCAGUGGUUUAAAAGCAUAAUUCCUAUGAGCCACCGAGAUGGUUAACGAGGUGCAGAUAGAGAACAGGAUGAAAGCUGAAUGAAAAACCCCGGGAAGAUGCUGGGCUGCCGGAGCGUGGACGAGCCGGGAUUGUGCCCUGAACUUCACCCGCUUGGCAGCCGCUGUUCCUAAGCCAUUUCCCCUCUCCUCCCCUGCCUCUUUGCCUCCCGGACCGGCAGUCUGCUCUUUAAAGUUGAUCUGAAGGGGAAAGCAGAGACGAGCUUGUGCAUAGUUUGGAGGCUUCUGAUCCAUGAAAUAAUCAAGCCCACCGUAUCUCUGUAUCCCACUCUGGAAGAUCUGCCUACUUGGAGUUAAGAAGUUUAACAAGAGAGGCUUAUGCAUUUGUGAGGGCAUGGAUGCUGUGGAAGGAAAGAUUGGGUCUAACUUUUAGUUUCAGAGGAUCAAAUGCAACAUGCUGAAAGGGAAGACAGCUUUACCAACCCACUUCAAAGUAUGUGGAGCUGCAAACAGAAUGCUGGAAAGAUGUAAAGCUAAGGAAAACUCAGAAUGCUUGGGAAGAAAGAGAGCAUGGACAAGCUAUUCUUCUGUUAUUAAAAAAAGAAUAAAUGAAGCAGCUUCCCUAUUCCUGGUCAGCGAAGGAAUGUGUAUCUACUACCCUUAUUACUAAUGUACAAGAGGAUCUGUGUCUGCCUUCACCUGACCGCACAGUGUUGUCAGAGGGCUGCAUUUUACGGCUUCAUCACCAGCUUGCCAUGGUCUUUGAACAUAUCACAGUCAGGUGCUUCUCUAUAGGAAAGAAGGAGAGCUGCGAACGCCAAGUGACAUGAAAUUGACUAUUUAUUUAUUUUUUAAAAGGCAUUGUGUUAAUAACAUGGAAAAACAGAGGCUGUAAUGAUCGCUAAUAAAGCACUAGUGUAUUAAUAAAGCUGCUUUGUGCAUUUCC
Molecule: long non-coding RNA, 1795 nt
Organism: Cygnus olor (mute swan)
Lineage: Eukaryota; Metazoa; Chordata; Aves; Anseriformes; Anatidae
Exons: 6
Source: RefSeq, a predicted model, not a curated record